Molecule: long non-coding RNA, 326 nt
Organism: Melanotaenia boesemani (Boeseman's rainbowfish)
Lineage: Eukaryota; Metazoa; Chordata; Actinopteri; Atheriniformes; Melanotaeniidae
Exons: 3
Source: RefSeq, a predicted model, not a curated record
UCCCCAUUAACACACCAUAGCAUUUAAGCGCCGCAAUAACCAGGUACAGGUAAGCUGUGCUCCUGCUGCUUCAUUGUUUCGGCUUUGUCACUGUUGCUGCCGUUAGCCUGACGCUGUCUGAUACAGCCUCUGUUGCCGCUUGGGUGGUGUCUACUGGUGGAAGGACCAUGCUGAGUUUUUUUUGUUUUUAGGGUCUGGUCCGAGCGUGGCUGCCCGGGAAGGUGGAGGGUUUUGGUGAUAGAGUCUCUCACUUCAGCCCCAUCACUCCUUGCGUGACGUGGUAUUUUUGCACACCCCUCACUUAUUUUGCAUGCUUUUGUUGUCCU